This is a long non-coding RNA of Bos taurus (domestic cattle), 7500 nucleotides long. NCBI's taxonomy places the organism in Eukaryota, Metazoa, Chordata, Mammalia, Artiodactyla, Bovidae. The record is from Ensembl.
CUCCCAAACCACAGCCUGGUGCAUCUGUCGUUUAAGACACUCCUCAGGGGCCAUUUUACAUUUAGGUCUGGGAUUAUCUGAGAAACCUUGAGCCUCUUGAAGGUAGAAACCAAGUGUAUUGAGCUCUGCACUGUCCCCCACCUCUUCUCCCAGGAAUGAAGCAUGGUCACCACGUCAUGAAUAUUGUUAGACAAAAGCAAUGGCAGCAUCUUUUGGAGAGUAACCAAGCGCAAUUCCUUCUCUUUAUGUGGAUUUCCUCAUUUAAUCUUUGCCACAACCCUUGGAGGUAGCCAAUAUUAUCAUCCCCAUUUUACAGAUGAAGAAGGCGAGGCUCAGGAGGCCUUUUCCUAGAUGAGAGAGGCGGACAAGGCAAGGGAUUACUUCCCUAUCACACAGGCGAGAAAACCAAGGGCCAAAGAGAGUAAGAGGGUGCCCACAUCAUUGGCAAAUUAGCCAUGGGGUGACCUGGGCCCCAGGCAUUGCUCAGCAGCUUCCUUUUUUCUCAGCCUGGGAACGCUGGGUCAGCUUUGGCCCUUCCAUCUCCAGAGGCAGAUGACCACAGUGGUUCUGAUGGGCCCCCAUCCAGGCCAUGGGACCCCCUCUGAGUCUCCCUCUACUUUCCCACAAUGUCCUGUCAAACCGGCCCAGGUAGCUGUCUUCAGCCUCCAGAUGCUCAAGCUCUCCUAUGAGAGGAAGAGUAUCAUGGUUCCACCAUGAUUGUAUAAGUCCCCUCCCGACACCCAGGCAGGCAACUUUUUGUGGCUUUCACUUCAGGAAAGUUGAGGUGGGUGCGUAGAGGUAGAGGGAGGCGGGGAGGCUGGAGGGUGGGAAUUCCACCCACACAGAUGGGCCUCUGAAACCUCCAAGUUCUUCUCACUGCCCCUGCUGUGACUGGUUGUGUUUCUAAAACAUGGCUGUCCUCUUGAUCAUCAAAAUCGUGCAAGUUAUGGAUGGGGUACCCCUGGCAGGGGGUGGGAGGGGAGUUGACAGUUUUAGUAAUAUUAGAUUUCUUAAGCUGAGUGGAAGGGCAGGGGUGUUUGUAACACAGAUCCCCAAACCACUGCCCGUCUCUAUCAGGGCCACAUGGCUUUCCAAAUCCAGAAUUCUGUGGAUUUUAGAAGGUAGUACAGGGUGCGUGCACACUAGGUACGUUACAGGACACGCCCGUGGGAUCACGGUGAUGCCCUGCAGUCAAGCCCACUGAUAUUUCUCGGCAUAUGAAUGAUCACAUGAAGCAAGAUAAGUACUGUGUUAAUAUUAUUAACAGCCUUCCAUCCAAGCGGUCACGUUUGCUGACAAAAUGUAAAAAAAUCUUGCAGCCUUCAGAGCUUGUUUGAUUUUGUCUUGCAAAUGGGAUUGACAGUCUUAGUGGUGGCAAGUGAGAUCUGUGAUCUUCACUGCAGCGUGAAGGAGUUUUAGUUGCGGCAAGCAUUGUCUGGUGCCCUGACCAGGGAUUGAACCCAGGCCCUCUCCAUUCGGAGCACAGAGUCUUAGCCACUGGACCACCAGGGAAGUCCCUUCAAUAUCUCUUCAUGCGUGAAAAUGACAGCCAACUGUAAUGUAGGCACAUGGUGGAAAACAGAGAAAAGCAUAAAGAAACAAACUCACCCUGCUCAUUCACGGCCAUCACCCAUUUGCCAUAACUAAGAGAUCAAUGUGGGUUCGUUGCUAUUAACCACAUUCCAGACUUUGAAUUUCACAAGUUUUUUCACUGAUAUACUUUUUCUGUCCUAGGACCCAAUCCAGGUUAGCACAUUGCCUUUAGGUUUUUUUAAAAAAUCUUAAAAAAAUUUAUAUUAUUUAGUUUUUUUUUUAAUCUGAAAAGUUCAGAGUCCUCUAACAACCAGCUAUAAACCCCGUCUCCCGGAGUGCCCUUCUUCUUUCCUCCUCCCCUGCCUUUUCUCGGAGCCCCCUCUUAUUUCUGGUUCCUGAGGACUUCCCUUCUUGCAUUUGAGUCUAACUAUGGACAUCAUGCUUUUUAGGAAACUGUUAACCAAGACUUGGGCGUGCUGGAGUGCUUCCAGAAAUCAGUUUGAAGCAGCUCUUCAGGGGCAGAGAGAGUGCCAAGCAGAUGUGUCCUGGCCAGGGAAGAGCAGUUCCAGGACCAGGGUGGGAGUGGGGGUGGGGGGCAGCCUGCAGGGGGAGGAAUCCCAGGGUGGCUGAGGGAGGGGUUGUUUUCUGGGAGGUGGGUAAAGGACUUGCAAAUCAGGCCAGGAGUUAGGUCGAGAUCACGUCAAGGAGACUUAAAGGCCCGAAGAAAGGAGUAGCAGCACAUAGACGGCUUUGGCGUGGGGUGUGGAAGGACGUUCCUUGGUUUGCCACUGGUGCAGAACGGCUGGACUGGGGAGGCGUCAGCCUGAACCUGUGUUAAAGUGAUAAGAGGAGUGGCCCUCAAGCGUCCUUCAUUGCACACAGGGAGCUCCAGAGGCCGAGAACCAGGAUGCUUGUUCAAGGUCACGGGUCACAUUCACAUCAGAGUCCGUGACUGUGGCCCCAGCAUUUUUAUGUAAGUAUGGAUGGGUUUCCAACAACAGCUGUUUCGUUCUUACUCUGGGCCAGGCCCACAUAGCUCCUGACUUCAUGAAUCAUAAAGCUUAGAGGGCAUGGACAGUGAUAGAUAAUACCUAACUAGCCAAACAAAAGACUAUGUAACCACUCAUUGUGCCUGGAGCUAUGAAUUAAAGCCAGGUGGUCAGAGAAGGGGCUUAUACAACUCAUAACCCCAAAUUAGGAGGCUAUUUGAAAGUUAUCUAGUGCUCUGGGUCUUGGACUUUGGCCUACAUCAGAAUUACCUGCAGGGGUGGUUAAAACAGAUUCCUGGCUCAGGCUCAGUUUCUACCUUGGUGGGCCGAGCGUGGUGCCUAGGGUCUGCAUCUCCAACAAGCUCUCUCCCAGGUGGUGCCAAUGCUGCUGGUUGAGGGGCCACGCUUGGUCUCCGGAGUAUAAAAAUGCAGUUAGAUCCAUGGCUAGCAGAUGACGUAUCACUUGGCUUUGCCGAUGGUUUCAUUUCAGAGGUGGAGGAAGUGAGCCAUGCGGGGAAGUCCUGAUACCCGUUCAAACCUGAAAGAAGCUGUUGAGAAUGUGGAUAAGUGAGAAUUCAGGAGAGGAAGAGCCACGUGAUCCCCCAGCUGCAGGUCCUGGGGAACUCCCUUCUGUUUUCAGAUGACUGGUGCUAGGCUGUCUCCAAGAGUCCCUGGGGCCCACUGCUCCGCACACCACUCCCAUCACUCAGCAUGAAGAGUCAAGGGUCCUGGGCUUGCGGGUUGCUGUCUGCUCUGAGGAGGGCCCCCUCUCACAGUGAACCUGGUUUCUUCCCCUCUACCCCCACUGCCCUGGAGAUAUAUCUAUUGGGCUGCUGUCUGCAGGCCUCUGAGCCUUGUAGUUACCCAGCCUUGAGACCAAAGACGGGCCAGGAAACAGCAACAGAGACAUCAAUGGUUUAUUAGACAGGAGAUCUUAAGCAGGAGGUCCUGGAGUGACUGGCUAUCCUAGACAGAAUGUGGCAGAAGGGGAGGAGGAGGCUACUAUUUAUAGAAUAACUAACAUCACCGUGGGUCUUAUCAGUUACCAGGGAAACCAGCAGCUAGGGCGUGUCCCUCGCCACCCUUCAGGUUAAGGACCACGACUAUCUGAAUCACUUUGAGGGCAGGUGUUUCCCUUUAAUAAACUAGCAGGUGGAGCCAUUCUGACCUCAGGAUUAGAACAGUCAAUCCCUAACCGGGGGCCCCAGGGCAAAGGUAUUCCUGUGAGUUGGGGGUAGGUGAAGCAGAGAGUCCUCGAACGGGGGGUGUACAAAGCAAGUGAACUUGUAGAGUAGCCUGAUCAGACACCAUCCCUACCAUCCACGCCUCCUACUCCAGGAAGGAGAUUUUCUUAAACCUCUUGGAUUCUGCAGUGGGGACUUGUGACCUGACUUCUGGUAAGGGAGAAGACUCCAGAGUCGUGAUUGCGAGGAAGAGGCACCAUGAACGUUGGAAGCAAGGGCGGAUUCUAUACCACUGAGCAACCAGGAAAGCCCUGCAUCUCUUUUUGACUUCAGGAUUAAACUGACUUUUUUCCACAUUGACCAAUUUGUGCUGGGUCUUCGCUGCCAUGUGCCGGCUCUCUAGUUGCAGUGAGCCGGGGCUACUCUCCAGCUGCGGUGCUCGGACUUCUCACUGUGGUGGCUUCUCUUGUGGAGGGGCUCUAGAGUGCUGGCCCAGCAGCUGUGGCACUCAGGCUUUGGUUGCCCGCGGCAUGUGAGACCUUCCUGGACCAGGGAUCAAACCUGCGUCCCCUGCAUUGGCAGGCGGAUUCUAAUCCCCUGGACCACCAGGGAAGUCCACACAGGCCUUGCAGUGGCACUUCAAGUGGCAGCAAGAGCCCUGGGCUGGGAGGCUGAGGCUUGGUUCCUGCCCAGCCCUGGGCCUCAUUUUCCCCUCCUGUAAAAUGAGAGGGUUAGACCUGAUGAUCCCCAAGUUCCCUUUUGAUGCUGACCUUGUAAGAUAUUUGUCCACAUGACAUGACUCUAAUGGCGGAAUCUCAGGCACCAUUACUGGGGUGAGCAGGAGGUAUUUUGGAGAAGGCCCUGCCUAGCGCGUUCUGCUGCCUUCCCCACAGGACAAGUUGAGCUGGCCCUGCAGUCUUUUUGAAUAUCUGCCUGUGCAUAUGGCUUUGGUAGAGAGGAAGGGAGCAGGAGCUAGAAUUACCCUGGCUGGGUUUCCCAGCCUCCUCCUUGGUCAGCAGAGAGCAUCUCUCAGACAAUCUCUCUUCUCUCCGCCUUUGACCCCCUUCCCCAGCUACCAGCAGAAGUCCCAUUUCCUGACCUGCUUCCUGCAUGAGCUGUCACUCAUUUCUGUCCCAUGUGGUUCCAGCGUUGGGCAGGAAAUACGGGACUGUGGGGGCUUCAGAUUCAGACGACAGCAGGGAGGGUAAGGGGAUGGCACCAAGGUCCAGUUUCUCAUGGAAGAGGGGGAGGGUGGAGCCUCUAAAAAGCAAAUCAGACUUUAACAUGGAAGAGAAACUCUGAUGAGCCUCAGCCAGACCACUUUAUGAUGCUCAAAGCAUAUGUCUUCUUCCCACCUCAGGCUAGAAUACAAGAGGUUUCUUUCUGCCAUCUCAGUCUUGGGAGGUACCAGGCUCCUGAGAAGCUGUGUGAAGAAAAUCCCUCACUGCCACAUUGGCCAAAUGGAAUGGGGAAAUGGCACAGGAAGACACUGGCAUGUGCAAAGUCCCUGGGGUAGAAGGGAACACGAAAGAGUCAAGAACCUGAAAGGAGGUCGAUGUAGCAGGGAGGAGAGGGAGAGAGGGGAGGCCUGGGUCCACGCUGUGAAGGUGCAGAGGGGGCCUGGCCUUUACUUUGAUGAGCAGGAGAGAUGGCCAGGGGCAAGGGCCAGAGUGGAACUUGGCAGAGGGACACUACUUAGAGUUUAGGAAGACUUGAGGGGACAGCACCAUCUUCUGAGCCAGGUUCUUUCCUCCUCUCUCCCCUCCAAAUGCUCUCUUGGGCCUGUUUCUCUUCUCUUGGGGUCCAAAGCAAGGUCUGACCCAGGAAGCUGACCAGGAGCGCUCAUGCAGGCUGGCAGGCAGGGCUCCUGGCAGAGGAGUCAAUGUGGUCUCACCAGUUCCCAAGUCCUGAGUCCAACAUGGAAAUUACAGGCCUUGGGAUGUAAGCCUCUGUGGGUAGUGACACCAGCUGGGAGACUCACUGUACCCGAGACAGCACCCCCGAGGGGGUUGGGAAGCCCAGGCCCCCACAUUGAUGCCCCAAGGACAGUAUGAGGAUAACCAGGCAGCUCCUUCCCCAAAACAGAAACUUUCACCAUCACAAGUGCCAGAGAGCUUGCUUGGAGCUCUGCCUCAUGUGGACCACAGCCCAGCCAGAAGCCCACAAGGCCCCGGGGCUCAUUUCUACUCCAGGAAAGUGCAGCCCCUCAGCUUCUUUCACCAUCCCGGGAGAGCAUCUCUGCACAAGAGAUGCAGUUAGCAUCUCAUCACUGUGGUUAGCAGGACAUGUGGAGUCCCAGAGCUUGCCAGAACAGCACCAACCUGCUGGACACCUCUCCUAACUCCUGCCCCUUCCCUCCAAGCCCAGAGACUCAGACCUAGGCUUACAUCAAAAGACUGGGAAGUCCCCCAGCACAGCUGGGGGCAUCUGCUGCUUCCUCCAGGGAGGAAACAAGGGCUGCCCAAGGCCAGGUCCUGUGGACGCACAUCCUGCCACCUGGGCUGCUGACCCAGGAGAGGUUAGGGCCCUUGUGUGGGACCAGCCUUGGGCAAUGGGGAAUGCAGGGGGAAGGCUUGGUCUUCAAAUCUACAUCCAAAUACCAGUAUCUUGAAAUAGUAGUUUGGAGUUCCUCUGCCUCGGUUCCCUCAUCUGUUAAAUGGGAUGAUGAUAAUACUUUCCACACAGUGGUCUGGUAAGGACUGAGUUCGUUUGGAGGGACUAACAUGGUGGCCAAGAGCAGGGGUUCUGGAGUGCCCCUGCUUGGGUCCAAACCCCAGCUUCUUCGCUGCUAGCUGUGUAAUCUCGACAUGUUACCUCCCUGUUUCCUCACUUGUAAAAAUGGAGAUUAAAAGGCUGCCAUGAGGAUUAAAGGGGCAAGCAUAAGUACUUAGAGUAGGUACCAGUGCUCACAAAUGUCAGGUAUUGGUUUUACUCCAUGGAAACGGUACUUGGCACACAAGCUAAAUGGUACUUGCCCAGUAAAUGUAGGCUCCACCCUCUGGUCCCCUUGAUUGUUACGUCUUGUGUUUCCUACCCCCAAAUUCAAACACACAAGAUUCCCUUUGAUCUCCCAUCUGUAAAAUGUUAUUACCUUGUUCAUACUCAAGUGUAAAUGACUGGUAGUCAUUUAAUUUAUACCAGAGGAGCAGUCAAAAAUUCAGCCAAAAGAACGAUGUGCUGAUGGUGGAUUCUCAGGCCACCAGCCAGGCUGAGGGUAGGGGGCACUUGGGAAGGUAGCUCUCCCAGAGUCCUUCAGUGAUAACCUUAUCAGCCGGCCAGGUACCUCGAGGGUAGAAAGGAUAUCAGGCCCAAGACCCAGCUCUGCUUCUAAGUGCUGUGUGACUUUCAGCAACUCACUGACCUCUCUGAAUUUCAGCUUCCUCAUCUGCUUAACGGGAUUACUUUUCUGCCUUUCUCAAGGGGCUGUUUGAAAUUAAAUGCACCUGAAAAUGGUCUGCAUUUGUCUCUCCAGAUUGUGGUUAUCUGUCCAUGCGUCCGUCCACUCUCCCCAGCCUGGGCAGGGAGGAGGUGUUCUGUGAACACGAGUGGUACUGAAGUGCACAUCCUGAUCUUGGGACAUAACCCCAUCCAUGCAUCCAGUCACAGCCCACAUGCACUUUCUCUUCCAUCUCCCAUCAUGCCCUGCAGUGACCCGGCGAAGCUGGGAAUACCCCAUUUAGCAGAGGAGGAAACUGAGGCCUGGGGAGGACAGGGCAUUUGCCUGAGGCCACAUAGCUAGAAGUGGUGGGCCUGGGAAUCAGCCACAAGCACUUGACUGCCAAAUCUCUGCCAUC